Molecule: ribosomal RNA, 379 nt
Filed under: uncultured bacterium
Lineage: Bacteria
Description: bacterial SSU rRNA
Rfam family: Bacterial small subunit ribosomal RNA
Source: RNAcentral
GACGAACGCUGGCGGCGUGCUUAACACAUGCAAGUCGAACGGAGUUGAGGAGCUUGCUCCUUAACUUAGUGGCGAACGGGUGAGUAACGCGUGAGGAACCUGCCUUUCAGUGGGGGACAACAGUUGGAAACGACUGCUAAUACCGCAUGGACACUAUCGGGCCGCAUGGUCUGGUAGUCAAAGAUUUAUUGCUGAAGAUGGCCUCGCGUCUGAUUAGCUAGUUGGUGGGGUAACGGCCCGACCAAGGCGACGAUCAGUAGCCGGACUGAGAGGUUGACCGGCCACAUUGGGACUGAGAUACGGCCCAGACUCCUACGGGAGGCAGCAGUGGGGAAUAUUGGGCAAUGGGCGAAAGCCUGACCCAGCAACGCCGCGUGAA